GUCUCUUAUUCUGUAUCAGAUAACUCUGUCAAACACAACACGCGUCAGAGGUUGAGGGUCCACACGGAACCCCACACCUGAUAAACUUGUAAUGAUCCUUCCGCAGGUUCACCUACGGAAA
This 121-nucleotide unclassified non-coding RNA is filed under the name uncultured fungus. RNAcentral describes it as "sequence contains ITS1". The record is from RNAcentral. Lineage: Eukaryota; Fungi.